GGCGGACGGGUGAGUAAUGCUUGGGAACUUGCCUUUGCGAGGGGGAUAACAGUUGGAAACGACUGCUAAUACCGCAUAAUGUCUACGGACCAAACGGGGCUUCUGCUCCGGCGCAAAGAGAGGCCCAAGUGAGAUUAGCUAGUUGGUAAGGUAACGGCUUACCAAGGCGACGAUCUCUAGCUGUUCUGAGAGGAAGAUCAGCCACACUGGGACUGAGACACGGCCCAGACUCCUACGGGAGGCAGCAGUGGGGAAUAUUGCACAAUGGGGGAAACCCUGAUGCAGCCAUGCCGCGUGUGUGAAGAAGGCCUUCGGGUUGUAAAGCACUUUCAGUUGUGAGGAAAAGUUAGUAGUUAAUACCUGCUAGCCGUGACGUUAACAACAGAAGAAGCACCGGCUAACUCCGUGCCAGCAGCCGCGGUAAUACGGAGGGUGCGAGCGUUAAUCGGAAUUACUGGGCGUAAAGCGCACGCAGGCGGUUUGUUAAGCUAGAUGUGAAAGCCCCGGGCUCAACCUGGGAUGGUCAUUUAGAACUGGCAGACUAGAGUCUUGGAGAGGGGAGUGGAAUUCCAGGUGUAGCGGUGAAAUGCGUAGAUAUCUGGAGGAACAUCAGUGGCGA
Molecule: ribosomal RNA, 619 nt
Filed under: Alteromonadaceae bacterium GUDS1340
Lineage: Bacteria; Pseudomonadati; Pseudomonadota; Gammaproteobacteria; Alteromonadales; Alteromonadaceae
Description: bacterial SSU rRNA
Rfam family: Bacterial small subunit ribosomal RNA
Source: RNAcentral